GCUGGGCGUGGUGGUGCGCGCCUGUAAUCCCAGCUACUUAGAAGGCUGAGGCAGGAGAAUCGCUUGAACCCGGGAGGCAGAGGUUGCAGUGAGCCAAGACUGCACCACUGCACUCCAGCCUGGGCUACAGAGCGAGACUCUGUCUCAA
This 148-nucleotide non-coding RNA is filed under the name Homo sapiens (human). The record is from Rfam by way of RNAcentral. Lineage: Eukaryota; Metazoa; Chordata; Mammalia; Primates; Hominidae.